Long non-coding RNA from Neodiprion fabricii, 591 nucleotides. RefSeq lists it as uncharacterized. The record is from RefSeq and is a predicted model, not a curated record. Lineage: Eukaryota; Metazoa; Arthropoda; Insecta; Hymenoptera; Diprionidae. The transcript has 3 exons.
GCACGUUCUGCAAACCUGCAAGAUUACAAUUCGAAAUGCAAGCUUACCGUGAGAAAAGAGGAAAAGGUAACGACGGUCACGUUUGAUUAAUUGCGAUUACGGAACGGUCCACCUCCACCUUAGAACUCUAGCCGGCAGACUCUCACGGCAAAACAAAAUGUGGAGGAAGAAGUUACGCGGAAGAAAUCAGAACUUUUGUUAUUCGGCUCGGCUGGACCAGAUGGCGAGCCACUUCGGUGACACGGGGCUGCAAUUCGGGACGGUAUUUAUAGCGGUAAAGAAAGGAUAAUUCCAGGAUCUAAGGACAUUUGAGGGAGCAGCCCGAGUCGACCUAUAAAUUUCGUCACUAUUCAAAUUAUGUCCAAGCAGCUUUUUGCAUCGAGAUUAUAAAUAAAUAUUACCUCGACAUUGUAACAAUGUGUGUAAAAUACAAACAGAGAGAAUAUGAUGCAAAAUCCGCGGAAACCGCUAUAUGGAAUAAUUUGUAGACACACAUAUAUUUAUACGACACAGAGUUUCCCGACGUCAGAUUGUGUGCUGAGGGAAAAGAUUUUCAUUACAGAUAGUCUCACCGCGUACACCGAACACCAU